This 309-nucleotide ribosomal RNA is filed under the name uncultured bacterium. Its description in RNAcentral is "bacterial SSU rRNA". It matches the Rfam family "Bacterial small subunit ribosomal RNA", at positions 28 to 334 of the family's 1533-position model. The record is from RNAcentral.
GAUGAACGCUGGCGGCACGCCUAACACAUGCAAGUCGAACGGAGAAUUUUUGGUUUACUGGAAAUUCUUAGUGGCGGACGGGUGAGUAACACGUGAGCAACCUACCUCUGAGAGGGGGAUAGCUUCUGGAAACGGAUGGUAAUACCUCAUGACAUAACUUGAAGGCAUCUUCAGGUUAUCAAAGAUUUAUCACUCAGAGAUGGGCUCGCGUCUGAUUAGCUAGAUGGUGAGGUAACGGCUCACCAUGGCGACGAUCAGUAGCCGGACUGAGAGGUUGAACGGCCACAUUGGGACUGAGACACGGCCCAG